Molecule: long non-coding RNA, 212 nt
Organism: Ipomoea nil (Japanese morning glory)
Lineage: Eukaryota; Viridiplantae; Streptophyta; Magnoliopsida; Solanales; Convolvulaceae
Exons: 3
Source: RefSeq, a predicted model, not a curated record
GUGGAGGGUAUAGAGAGCUAUGGAGCUUCUUUUUUGUCUUGAUAUCUCUUAAAGCUCAGUUCUUGGAUGUAUUUUUGUAUGUAUCAUUGAAAAGGGAUUUGAUCAAGGAAUAUUUGCCCAAAAGAGUUGUAUUCUUUUAGAAGUUAGAUGGAAUUUACUUGUAUCCAGAACUUAGCCAUGUAUCCUUGGAAGAAAAACUUUGCUUUUCAUUU